AACCUAGCACACCUGCGGUGUGUACCUGCGGAAGGAUCAUUACACAUAUAAAGUAUGCCUGGGAAAAUUCGAAAGAAAAGUACCCAGGCGUAUUCUUAUACCCAUGUCUUUUGCGUACUACUUGUUUCCUUGGUGGGCUUGCCUGCCAUUAGGACACCCCUACAAACCUUUUGUAAUUGCAGUCAGCGUCAAAAAAUAACGUAAUCGUUACAACUUUCAACAACGGAUCUCAGAUCGGAA
RNAcentral lists this unclassified non-coding RNA (240 nucleotides) under soil metagenome. RNAcentral describes it as "partial contains 5.8S ribosomal RNA, internal transcribed spacer 2, and large subunit ribosomal RNA". The record is from RNAcentral.